GGUUCCAUAGAGCAGUGGUCAGCACAUCUGCUUUACAAACAGAAGGUCCUGAGUUCGAGCCCCUGUGUAGCCA
RNAcentral lists this transfer RNA (73 nucleotides) under Pteropus alecto (black flying fox). It matches the Rfam family "tRNA". Rfam says of the family: Transfer RNA (tRNA) molecules are approximately 80 nucleotides in length. Lineage: Eukaryota; Metazoa; Chordata; Mammalia; Chiroptera; Pteropodidae. The record is from Rfam by way of RNAcentral.